Dinoponera quadriceps is the source of this 1175-nucleotide long non-coding RNA. RefSeq lists it as uncharacterized. NCBI's taxonomy places the organism in Eukaryota, Metazoa, Arthropoda, Insecta, Hymenoptera, Formicidae. The transcript has 2 exons. The record is from RefSeq and is a predicted model, not a curated record.
GUUAAUUACACGAAACAUGAAUAUAUACUCGUUCGAAAUAAAUUAGAUCCAUUUGGUCUUACACCUUGCAUACUGGCACUUUACCCACUCGUUAUUAUAAAAGUAACGAAAGCAUUGUAGUCUCAUAACAUACGCGUUUACGUUACUUAAAACCUAAUCCGCAUACACUAAUUUACAAGAGAACAAUUUAGGGCGUUCUGACUCAAUGAAAAUAUUUCUUCGUCGCCUUUUUCGUCAUUAUUAACAUUGUCCCUAGUUUCGAUACAUUGCACUUAAACAUAUUUAACUGUAAUCCUUUAUAUAUUUAGGAAUCGUCAGGCUGUAUAUAUGUGUGUGUGUGUGUGUAUAUGUAUAUAUAUUAUGCAUGCAAGCGUAUGUGCCUGUGUUUGUGGGUGUACAAUCGUUCUCUUCCCAUGUCACACUAUCAUUAUUGAAGUGAUCCGAGCUAAAAUCCUGUUUAAUCUGUGUAAUUACGUCAUCACCGAUCGAAGAAUGAACGGUUAUAAAUCGCGUCCAAGGACAAUGCUCGUUCUAUUUUCAGUUGGGAGGGGAGGGGGAGGGUAACUCGAUACACACGAUACAUAUUUCCUGCCGUGGAUACAUUUUUCCCUCGACACGGCGCGCGAUCGUGUACAUAUUAUGCCUACACACGCCUACGCCAUGCGUGGAUGAGUGCAAAUGAUCUCUCUCUUAAUAGCUACUUAUUAUCAUCGGGAGCUUGCAACACAUUACACAAUCAUUCUACUAUUCACACCGCCGAAUAAUACCAUUAUACAUUAGUGCAUUAUGACGCGAAAUAGAAAACACUUAGUCAUAAGGCAUCGAAUCGAUUCCAUCUAAUUUGUUACGUUGUUAAACCGGGAAUAGUCGCGCGCGCGCGCGCGCAAGAAGCAAUUCCGCAAGCGACAAGGACUUUUAACUGAACGAAAGUCGGAGAUUCGAGAGUGUCGGCAGGACGGGCUGUCGUGCAGUUUAUAUACGGUUGACACUGCUGUUUACGGGAAACGACAUUAUGCGCGUUAUAUACUUCGUUUAUCGGCGUAUUCCCCGCACGACCGCACAACGGAACAAAACCGCACAGCUAUUCCGGAUAUAACGACGGACUUGUUUUGUCAAACGUUAAAAUGCGAAAUCAAUCUCAUCGACGCAGAGAGAAUGACGACUACCAAAAAAAA